RNAcentral lists this ribosomal RNA (253 nucleotides) under uncultured bacterium. RNAcentral describes it as "partial 16S ribosomal RNA". It matches the Rfam family "Bacterial small subunit ribosomal RNA", at positions 524 to 776 of the family's 1533-position model. The record is from RNAcentral.
UACGUAGGGUGCAAGCGUUGUCCGGAUUCAUUGGGCGUAAAGAGCGUGUAGGCGGCCAGGUAGGUCGGUUGUGAAAACUGGAGGCUCAACCUUCAGAGGUCGACCGAAACCAUCUGGCUAGAGUCCGGAAGAGGAGAGUGGAAUUCCCGGUGUAGCGGUGAAAUGCGCAGAUAUCGGGAAGAACACCCGUGGCUAAGGCGGCUCUCUAGUACGGUACUGACGCUGAGACGCGAAAGCGUGGGGAGCGAACAGG